RNAcentral lists this ribosomal RNA (286 nucleotides) under Salmonella enterica subsp. enterica serovar Paratyphi B var. L(+) tartrate +. RNAcentral's name for it is "partial 16S ribosomal RNA". It matches the Rfam family "Bacterial small subunit ribosomal RNA", at positions 1 to 287 of the family's 1533-position model. Lineage: Bacteria; Pseudomonadati; Pseudomonadota; Gammaproteobacteria; Enterobacterales; Enterobacteriaceae. The record is from RNAcentral.
UGAAGAGUUUGAUCAUGGCUCAGAUUGAACGCUGGCGGCAGGCCUAACACAUGCAAGUCGAACGGUAACAGGAAGCAGCUUGCUGCUUCGCUGACGAGUGGCGGACGGGUGAGUAAUGUCUGGGAAACUGCCUGAUGGAGGGGGAUAACUACUGGAAACGGUGGCUAAUACCGCAUAACGUCGCAAGACCAAAGAGGGGGACCUUCGGGCCUCUUGCCAUCAGAUGUGCCCAGAUGGGAUUAGCUAGUUGGUGAGGUAACGGCUCACCAAGGCGACGAUCCCUAGC